RNAcentral lists this ribosomal RNA (185 nucleotides) under uncultured bacterium. Its description in RNAcentral is "partial 16S ribosomal RNA". It matches the Rfam family "Bacterial small subunit ribosomal RNA", at positions 1315 to 1500 of the family's 1533-position model. The record is from RNAcentral.
CCUUCAUGAAGCCGGAAUUGCUAGUAAUGGCAGGUCAGCAUACUGCCGUGAAUACGUUCCCGGGCCUUGUACACACCGCCCGUCACACCAUGAGAGUUGGGAAUACCCGAAGCCUGUGAGCUAACGUUAAGAGGCAGCAGUCGAAGGUAGAAUCAAUGAUUGGGGUGAAGUCGUAACAAGGUACC